AUCCUAGUACUACUCUCGCCCAAGCACGCUUAACUGCGGAGUUCUGAUGGGAUCCGGUGCAUUAGUGCUGGUAUGAUCGCACCC
Molecule: ribosomal RNA, 84 nt
Filed under: Arabis alpina (gray rockcress)
Lineage: Eukaryota; Viridiplantae; Streptophyta; Magnoliopsida; Brassicales; Brassicaceae
Description: rRNA ENSRNAG00050208687
Source: RNAcentral